This 442-nucleotide ribosomal RNA is filed under the name uncultured bacterium. RNAcentral's name for it is "partial 16S ribosomal RNA". It matches the Rfam family "Bacterial small subunit ribosomal RNA", at positions 338 to 795 of the family's 1533-position model. The record is from RNAcentral.
CCUACGGGAGGCAGCAGUGGGGAAUAUUGGUCAAUGGGUGCAAGCCUGACCCAGCCAUGCCGCGUGAAGGAAGAAGGCUUUCGGGUUGUAAACUUCUUUUACAGGGGAAGAGCAGAAGACGGUACCCUGAAAACAAGCCACGGCUAACUACGAGCCAGCAGCCGAGUUAAUACGUAGGUGGCAUGCGUUGUCCGGAUUUACUGGGUGUAAAGGGCGUGUAGCCGGGAAGGCAAGUCAGAUGUGAAAUCCGUAGGCUCAACCUCCGAAUUGCAGUUGAAACUGUUUUUCUUGAGUACUGGAGAGGCAGACGGAAUUCCUUGUGUAGCGGUGAAAUGCGUAGAUAUAAGGAGGAACACCAGUGGCGAAGGCGGUCUGCUGGACAGCAACUGACGGUGAGGCGCGAAAGCGUGGGGAUCGAACAGGAUUAGAUACCCGGGUAGUC